Molecule: ribosomal RNA, 465 nt
Filed under: Vreelandella stevensii
Lineage: Bacteria; Pseudomonadati; Pseudomonadota; Gammaproteobacteria; Oceanospirillales; Halomonadaceae
Description: partial 16S ribosomal RNA
Rfam family: Bacterial small subunit ribosomal RNA
Source: RNAcentral
CCUACGGGCGGCAGCAGUGGGGAAUAUUGGACAAUGGGGGCGACCCUGAUCCAGCCAUGCCGCGUGUGUGAAGAAGGCCCUCGGGUUGUAAAGCACUUUCAGUGAGGAAGAACGCCUGGUGGUUAAUACCCAUCAGGAAAGACAUCACUCACAGAAGAAGCACCGGCUAACUCCGUGCCAGCAGCCGCGGUAAUACGGAGGGUGCGAGCGUUAAUCGGAAUUACUGGGCGUAAAGCGCGCGUAGGUGGCUUGAUAAGCCGGUUGUGAAAGCCCCGGGCUCAACCUGGGAACGGCAUCCGGAACUGUCAAGCUAGAGUGCAGGAGAGGAAGGUAGAAUUCCCGGUGUAGCGGUGAAAUGCGUAGAGAUCGGGAGGAAUACCAGUGGCGAAGGCGGCCUUCUGGACUGACACUGACACUGAGGUGCGAAAGCGUGGGUAGCAAACAGGAUUAGAUACCCCAGUAGUC